UUUCUUCCUUUCUCCUAUCUCAGUUUGUCUUUUCUUUUGAAGUUUCUUCCCAAAGAAUUUAAUACUUUUAAAAACACAUAACUUUUAUAUGUGUUUUAAGAAAAAAAUUAAAUCUUCUAAAUGAUCAAGUUUAAACAAAUAGUAGUUGAUUUCUCAGGAGAUAAUUACACAUGUUAUUCUGCAAAUAUAGGGAAAUUCUGUAGAUCUGGAAAUACACCAACCCCAAGAAAAUGUCUUAUUUAACGUAUUUGACAAUGUGGACUUGGGGCCAGGACUUGCUUUCUGUAAUGACAAAAACAACAGAUGCUAUUGGAAAAAACACUGCCAGGUUACAUUUGUCACCUUUCUGUUACUGUAACACAUUCCUGAAAUGACAAACUUAUGAAGACACAAAGUUCAUCUUGGCCCAUCAUCCCCUUCAAGAACAUGUUCCUCAGUGACUCCUUUAUUUCUCACUCUUAAAGUUUGCCCAGCAUCUAAAGUGCCAAGCUGGGCUCAAACCUUGAAAUACAGGCCUUUAGGGGCUGCCUCAGUUCCUCACUAUAAUACAGGUUCAUGGUAUGCUUUUAAACAGUUGCUUAUAAAUCCUUAUGCUUUCUAUACCUCGUGAUUUUUGGUGAAAGGCACAUGAAUAAAUGUGCUUAUUUUCCCUUCAUUAUGUUAACCUUUAUAUUCAGUCUUGGGUGGAAGAGGUACACUUUAGGGUAUGAAUGCCAUUUAUGAACUUCAGUAGUAAAUAAACUUGUUUUGUUUUUGCAAAUGCUGGUCUCCGGAGAAGAAAAACCUGCUGUGUCAUUGGAACUGGAAUGGAUCAAAGGGCCAGCUGCAAGAUAAAGUGAGGACCUUUGGGAGGGAGAAGUGGGUGACGAAGAGGUGAUGCAAGAAAAAAGACUUCCAGCUGAUUCUCGUGGAAGUCCUGACAAUACACAGAGUCCAGUGUCAAAGCGGUUGCAGACCAAUGGUUCCCUGAAGUACUACCAUAUCUGCAUCACAUUAUUAACAACCUUUGGGCUACAUCAUUUCGCAAGCCUAAGUCAAAGUUACACAUCUGAUAUGUCCUCGGUCUGAUGUGUCUUAUUUACUGCAUACCAAGAAUUCAAUUCUUUUAAUGAGAUUUUUAAGUGACUUCCUCGUAAAGAUAGAGAAAAAUGCAGAGUAUUUGUUUUUAAAGUUAACAGUAAAUCUUACUAUUCUUGAAGCUUAAGACAGGAGAAUCACAAGUUCAAGCCCAGCCUGGGCAGAUUAGUAAGAUCCUGUUUCAAAGUUUAAGAAGAAAGAAAGAAAUCAAUCAAUCAAUCAAGCAAGCAAGAAAGAAGUAAAGAAAUAAAGAAGAGGCUGGGUAUAUAGCUCUGUGCAUAGGCCCUGGGUUCAAUCUCCAGUACUAGCAACAAAAACUAAAAAAUUUGAUAAUAUAUGUAGGUGAAAAGUUGAGUUACACAAAUCACUCUUUUUCUGCUGUAAAUUCUAAUAUACAGUUCUUCACCAGACUUGGGUCAGAAUUCAUAAAUAAAACUUGACAUGUGGAGAGUAUAUUGAUCUUGUUUUGAUACCA
This is a long non-coding RNA of Cavia porcellus (domestic guinea pig), 1552 nucleotides long. RefSeq lists it as uncharacterized. NCBI's taxonomy places the organism in Eukaryota, Metazoa, Chordata, Mammalia, Rodentia, Caviidae. The record is from RefSeq and is a predicted model, not a curated record. The transcript has 2 exons.